AUUGAACGCUGGCGGCAGGCCUAACACAUGCAAGUCGAACGAGUGGCGGACGGGUGAGUAAUGUCUGGGAAACUGCCUGAUGGAGGGGGAUAACUACUGGAAACGGUAGCUACUACCGCAUACCCUCGGAUGUGCCCAGAUGGGAUUAGCUAGUAGGUGGGGUAACGGCUCACCGAGGCGACGAUCCCUAGCUGGUCUGCGAGGAUGACCAGCCACACUGGAACUGAGACACGGUCCAGACUCCUACGGGAGGCAGCAGUGGGGAAUAUUGCACAAUGGGCGCAAGCCUGAUGCAGCCAUGCCGCGUGUAUGAAGAAGGCCUUCGGGUUGUAAAGUACUUUCAUCGGGGAGGCGUUACCCGCAGAAGAAGCACCGGCUAACUCCGUGCCAGCAGCCGCGGUAAUUC
Molecule: ribosomal RNA, 406 nt
Filed under: uncultured bacterium
Lineage: Bacteria
Description: partial 16S ribosomal RNA
Rfam family: Bacterial small subunit ribosomal RNA
Source: RNAcentral